AUAAAAUCCAUAUUUAAUGAUAUUGAAUAACUUUUUAACUUUUAAUUUAACUUAUUUGAAUUGUUUUAUUUAAAUUUUAAUUUGAUUUUAGUACUUCAGCAUAAGCUUAUUUUGUUUCAGUUAGUUGACAAUGCAACAUUUCUAAUUUUUUCAAGUGUUUUAAGUUUAUUCUUUUCAUCUAAAGUUAAUAUGUUAUUUCAUCUUUAAAUUAGAUAUCUAAAUUUACUUAAUAAUAUCAACACUAUCAGCAUGAUUAUAUGAGUAUCAGCAUUGGCAUGCUUGGCCAACUAAAACAAGUGGUUGUAAAAUAUUUGAAAGACUAGGAGAAAUGACACUGCCGUACUUUAUAAAGCAGUAUUUUUUUAAAGCAGGAUAUUGUGCUGACUUUAUUAUUUCAACAUUCCUUAUUUUACGAAUUCUGUGGUUGCCUCCGGCUGUGUGCUUUGCUAUGUAUUAUAGCCGUCAGACUAACUUGAGUUUGUUUCAGGAGCGUGUACGUCUCCAAAGGGACCUGCUGACUGUGGAAAAAGCUGCUCAAGAAACCCAUAAACAAGCCAGAACGCUGCAGGAACAGCUCAGAACCAUUUCCCAAGAGCUGCUCUGCCUCAAAGACAAGGUACAAACAGGAAAUAGCACUGUAACACACCACAUCUGUUUGCUGUUAUAGAUCUGUUGCAGAUAAACAUGUUUGUUCUACUUGUUUGGGCUCAUUUCUGAAGCGCAUAUGCUAAUCAGUAAAUAUGAGGAAGAUGAAUGGCUGUCAUGUGCCUCUCUCAGCUCCAGAGCCAAGAGGAGGGCAACACUCGGCUGUGUGAGAUCAAGGACAGUGUGCGCUCUGUGAGGUCACAGGUCAAAGUGGAGCGUGACAGUGGGCUGAAGGAGCUAGAGUCGCCCUCUAGUGCCUCCUCAGACACAGACAGCAUGAAAGAGAACCAUUCCAGUGUUACAUUAUCCGUGGGGAACCCAGCAUACAACACUAAGGAUGAACAGUGGCGAGGCGAAGCACUGAGGGAGAGACUGAGGCAGCAGGAGGACCACUUGAAGGUUCAACUGCGCAGACGCAUGUUCUCCCAGCAGGAAGCUCUGAGUCAGCGCAGACUGCAGACUGAAGGCAGCAUUCAGGGUCUGCGCAGACACGUUGACAAACUGGACCAGCUCCUCAGCAACUCUUCCAAAGACUCAUAUUAUUUGAGUGACUAUGAAGCUCUGCCAAAACAUCAGAAACAAUACUCCACUGAGCCUCAUUGA
Molecule: long non-coding RNA, 1248 nt
Organism: Cyprinus carpio (common carp)
Lineage: Eukaryota; Metazoa; Chordata; Actinopteri; Cypriniformes; Cyprinidae
Source: Ensembl